GGUAGCGUGGCCGAGCGGUUUAAGGCGCUGGUUUAAGGCACCAGUCAUUUCGAUGGCGUGGGUUCGAAUCCCACCGCUGCCA
This 82-nucleotide transfer RNA is filed under the name Strongylocentrotus purpuratus (purple sea urchin). RNAcentral's name for it is "tRNA-Leu (AAG) (tRNA-Leu-AAG-3-1)". It matches the Rfam family "tRNA". From Rfam's summary of the family: Transfer RNA (tRNA) molecules are approximately 80 nucleotides in length. Lineage: Eukaryota; Metazoa; Echinodermata; Echinoidea; Camarodonta; Strongylocentrotidae. The record is from RNAcentral.